This is a long non-coding RNA of Rhagoletis pomonella (apple maggot), 1091 nucleotides long. RefSeq lists it as uncharacterized. The record is from RefSeq and is a predicted model, not a curated record. The transcript is spliced from 3 exons. Lineage: Eukaryota; Metazoa; Arthropoda; Insecta; Diptera; Tephritidae.
GCAGAACAUUCACAUUUCCCGCAGUGCAUUCAAUCAGUAAACCGGGGAGCGUGCAACUCAAACGUCAAAACAAAUGUUGGGAAAAUUCACAUCGAAUCAUGUGCAGGUGUAUCAUCAGUAUUCGCGUACAGUCUCACUGAAAAAGCCAAAAAAGAGCUUGCAAACAGACAUGCCAUAAAAAACAACUGAUACGCCUGCUGUCAACUGCAACAUAAAUAUUGAGAGCGUAAAAAACACAGCAAGCAAGAAAUACAUUGGAACAAUUUUCAAAUCCAAGAAAGCACAGCACAACGUAAAGAAGAAGCAUUCAAUUUUUGGAAAUCAAAUGAAAGCUGUUCAUAUGGCACCGAUCAUUUCUGUGUAUCAGCAAAAAAAAUUCUCGAAUCUCUUUUAACUUAACUACUCCUAUGCAAACAAGCUACUUUUAAAGAUAACUACAACUACAACAAAGCACAUAUCGAACUGGUAUCUUGCAAAAAAAAAAAAAAAAGUUUGGAAAAAUAACAGCGAAAUCCUUGCCACUAUCGUCAUUGGACCAGUCAACAGCUGCAAUAAAAGCCAACCACAACAACAACAGCCGCCUAAGUCAUUACAAAACUUGUUUCGUUUCGCAUUUUUGCAAUACUCGUAGCGUUUUAGUCAACACGAAAAGUCGCUGCGAAAAUUCCGCAAUAUUCAGUGCUUUGGCGUUGGAAUAUGUUGAAGCAGAAGCGACAAGUAAAACAGCAGCCAAAAGCAAAGCCGUAUAAUUUUCACACAUUCCGUUAAAUAUAAAUUUCGUUUUGUAUGCAAAUUGUGUUGAUGCACACGCUGCACGUCAAAAUUUUACAACGAAAAAAUAAAAUUUGUAAAUAAAAUUUGCCUAUUUGACAAUGAAUUUACACCAAUCAUGCGCAUCGAAAUUCACCACUCUUGAAACAAAAUUGUUACCAAAAAAAUUUUGAACACAAAAAAUUUGUAUGAAACGCAAACCAAAACAACGUUCCAAACACAUAAACGUUAUGAUUCGUAAAACAAAACCAAAAACAAAAAACCAAAAGAUACCAUGGGGACUGAAAAAAAUCUGUUGGGGGCUGAUAAACAUAACCGUG